GCAGGUGGACAUGAAAUCAUGGAAAUUCACAGACACAGCAGGUGGAAAAAAAGAAAACAACACGGGGGGCGUGAAAAAACAUUCACAGAGAUGCAGGUGGACAUGAAAUCAUGGAAAUUACAGACAACGCAGUGGGCACGAAAACACGGAAAUUCACAGACACACGCAGGUGGGCACGAAAACACGGAAAUUCAGACACGCAGGUGAGCACGAAAACACGGAAAUUCACAGACACGCAGGUGGGCACGAAAACACGGGAAUUCACAGACAUGCAGGUGGGCACGAACGCGCAGGUUUGCAUGACCAGGCUCGCAUGGGCAAGAUGUGGUGUUUCUUCCAGAUUACCAGGCAACAGAGCAG
RNAcentral lists this non-coding RNA (360 nucleotides) under Pongo abelii (Sumatran orangutan). The record is from RNAcentral. Lineage: Eukaryota; Metazoa; Chordata; Mammalia; Primates; Hominidae.